UAAAGAAAGAGAGAGAGAAAGAGAGAGAGAGGGCGAGAGAAAGAGAGAGAGAGAGAAAUUAAUUGCUGAUAUAAUGCAUUAAAUAGAGCUUUUAGUAGAGAAAAUAUAUAAAUUACCUUGAAGGUAAUUUAUAUAUUUUCUUUCUCUCCCUCCCUCUUUCUCUCUUUCUCCCUCUCUCUCUCUCUCUUUAUAUAC
Molecule: non-coding RNA, 195 nt
Organism: Brugia malayi
Lineage: Eukaryota; Metazoa; Nematoda; Chromadorea; Rhabditida; Onchocercidae
Source: RefSeq, a predicted model, not a curated record